ACGUAGUGAACCUUUUAUGUGUAUGAACAUAAGAAAUCAUGGUAAAGGAACAUAUGACGGAAUGAUCUGGGCAAGAAACACUGAAUAACUUUUCAUGUGAAGAACUUAAUGUCUCACAACUUAAACCAGCAGAAUUUGGAAAGACAAUGUAUAAAGAAGUUCAAAGUUGUAAGAGGCUCUAACUAGAAAUAAGAAGUGAAUUUGAAAGUAAUGGUCAAAAGGCAUGCAUAGAUGUUAUUUUUUAUCAACAAUGCCAUGGAGCCACAAAAAAAAAAAUAAAAAAUAAAAAAUUAAAUUAAAUGCCCAAAAAGUGACCAGAAAGUGAAGUGUGUGGGCUAAAUUCAUUCCGGUUGAGGCCCACCUCAUACUAAAUUUGAAUUACACCAUACAAUUCAUUCUCUAAUCAUUUUCCAGGCUACUUUUUUCUGUCUCCAUCAGUGUUGUUAAUACCAUUCCGUACCAGAGGGUACCGCCUGAAAUGUGCAGUUCAGGAAGAAAAACGGGACACAGCUACUCUAACUCCGUAUUGGCUAUGUUCUCGGCCUGUACCAGACAGUUUCGGUCAUUCCGGGUAAUAUCGGCCAGAAACCUUUAUCUUGCGGGAUACACCAGUAGACAAUCUGGAAAAAAAUUUAGAGAUUUUGAUACAAAAAUAACGUUGUUGAGGGCUUGACUGGUAGCCAUGAGUGACAACAAUGGCAGGUUAACAAUGGAGGAGGGUGCAAUAUGACAUGAGACUUCUUUUUCUUCCGUAGCAGAUCUUGAGCUUCUUAUUGGCUUUUACGACUUUGAUGGCCAGAACAAAUUUGACACCUUAUUAUUUGGCAAGAGCAUUGGCUGCUCCGGAUACAGACCAUCCAAAUGGAACACCAGGCCAUAAGAAUUAUGGGUUGAGUGUUCUUCAACAACAUGUGGCCUUUUUUGACAUGGACGACAAUGGAAUCAUUUACCCUUGGGAGACAUAUACUGCCUGAAGAGUGGUGGUUUUUCUGGGACAUAUUAUUGCUGGGACUAAUAAGAAGACUUGCGAGUAGUUGCAUUUUACAUUGAGGUCAUCAAUUUAUGGGUUUUCGAUAUAAUCGAAGUAGGCAGGUCAAUUAAUUGGUUUGAGGCAAAGUUGGUGUUGGGUAUGAGGGAUAGAAAUUCAAAGGAGCAUGAUCAUCUAAAAAAGGAUCUUCACACAA
Camellia sinensis is the source of this 1184-nucleotide non-coding RNA. Lineage: Eukaryota; Viridiplantae; Streptophyta; Magnoliopsida; Ericales; Theaceae. The record is from RefSeq and is a predicted model, not a curated record.